UAAGCGUGUGAUGAAAUUUUAGGGCUCAAUCCUGAGACUGUUAUGCGAACUGUAAAGCUAGAGUAUAUGAGGGGUAGCUGGAAUUCAUAGUGUAGGAGUGAAAUCCGUAGAUAUUAUGAGGAACACCAAUGGCGUAGGCAGGCUACUGGCAUAUUACUGACACUGAGGCACGAAAGCGUGGGAGCGAACGGGAUUAGAUACCCCGGUAGUCCACGCCGUAAACGAUGGAUGCUA
Molecule: ribosomal RNA, 234 nt
Filed under: uncultured Candidatus Saccharibacteria bacterium
Lineage: Bacteria; Candidatus Saccharimonadota
Description: partial 16S ribosomal RNA
Rfam family: Bacterial small subunit ribosomal RNA
Source: RNAcentral